Molecule: long non-coding RNA, 4041 nt
Organism: Capsicum annuum
Lineage: Eukaryota; Viridiplantae; Streptophyta; Magnoliopsida; Solanales; Solanaceae
Exons: 3
Source: RefSeq, a predicted model, not a curated record
UUCUUUCAUAAAGUUUUCCUCUUCUUUCUCCUCAUUCCUCACUCUUUUUUAAGUUAUUGGACUCAAUGUUCCAUUUUAUUUAUUAACAAAUCUGGUCCAUAAAGUCCAAAAGAAAUAACAUGAAAAAAAAAAGAAAAAAAGAGCUGGAAAAGAAGUGGUCAAAGCCGAUCCAACAAAGAUCAGGUCAGACAUAUAAAAAGACUAGACAUAUAAAAAGACUAUCUGAUAGGAUUUCCUAACUUGAUCCUCAUUUUAUGUCUCUUUGCCUACUCCGCCAUUGAGGAUAUCGCUGUUGUCUCUCCCAAAUGAUCGUCUUCGCUUUCUCCUGUUGUGGGUGAUGAACUAUCGCUAUCAUCCUGCUAACGUGUGCUUCAUUCUCACCUUGCAGAAGUAAGUACACCUUCAUAUCUAACUUAUGCCUUUUUAUUCUCUUGAAGGUGUGUAAUCCGAUGGAAGUCUAUGAGUUCGGCUGAAACUUGAAAGAGAGUUUGAACCUUGCAUCCCAGCUCUGUAGCUCUUUCUGAAGCAGAAGUGGAGAAAAACAAGUUGCUCACAGCCUCCUUUUUUUUAGAACUCUUAGUUGGGUACACGCUCUUAUCUGCAGAUCUGGUUCCUUGACUCUCGCUUUUUGCUAGUGAACCUUUUUGUUGGCUGAUGUAGCUUAGACUAGUUAGACCUUCCCCACUCAUUCUCUCUGUUAUUUUUCACCAUUUUUUAUCCUUCUUCUUCCUCAUUCUUUGUCACCCUCCACCACCCUCGACCGACACACAAACUUUUGAUAAAUUUUACAAAUUUUUGUUAGGUUACACUAUUUAUUCCAUCUUUCAUUAAAUUCAAGUUUAUUUUGUUAAUCCAUCAUUCAACACUAGUACCAAAUAUACAAUUUGCAUCUAAGUUAAAAAAAUUUCACAUACCCAUUACAGUUUAAGUUUUGAAUUGACAAACCCAAAUUCAAAUAUAGCAAAAAUCAGAAAUCAAGAGAACCCAAAAUUCAGAAGUAGAAGAAAAAACAGAAAUCUGAAAAAUUAAUAGCAUGAAAUUGUGUGUGUAAAAUUAAAUGAAUGGAUUUUAGGUGGUGGGUAAGAAAUUGGGAUAGAAGGCGAAUUUGGGUAUGGGAGUGUUGGAGAAGACUUUAUGGGGUGGUGUUGGAGAAGAUGAUUUAGGAUGUGUGUGUAUGUUGGAGAAGAUUUUUUUUUUUUUUUUUGGGGAGAGGGGGGGCACAAACAUGAACAAUUAAAUUUGAUUAGAUAGGUGUGAUGAUGUGUAAUGAGAUAAAUUUAGAUGCAAUUAGGUGCUGGGAUGAUAUAAUUGGACCUGACCUAACACCAAGCAUAAUUAGAUGCCCACUACAAAAUAGCUCUAAACGCUUCAAACCUAAAAUCUUACCUACAGUUGAGCACAAAGUGAGAAACAAAACCAUUCCGUGAGGUUUAAUAUCUGGCUACGUGACACUAAAAAACCAUUCAUAGAUGACGCAGAUGCCAAAGAAAUAGGUAGAGCCAGCACAUUUUCGUAAGACUAAUAAAUCCAAAUGACAUUAUUUGAUGCGAAAGAGACGUACAUGAUGAGAGAAAUGGAGACAAAAUCAACAAGAGAAAAUGGAAGAUAGUGAACAAAUUUGUAUGAAGAAAAAUAACGAAGAAAAUAUCAGAUGCAAAAUCUUGAUUGAAAUGAGUUAUGGUUGCUCAAGUCCUAGAUGUUACUACAAUAAAACCUUUUGGGUUUUAGAUUAGAGAGAGAGAACAUCAAACGAAGCAAACAGAUUGAAAAAAUUGCACAAAAACAGCAAACCAACCACCGCAGCAGGGAAUAACAACCAAAUCAACGAGAGAAACUGAUUGGGUGACAGAGUGACAUACAACAAAAUCACCGCAGAAAACAGCUCGUACAAGAAUUAUAUGUAGCCGUAGUCUACUACACCUGGCACCCCACCCACAGUGUUCAAUACAUGAGGCGACAUGAGCCAAACCAAAAAACAACAAACUGCAGCCACACUGCUCUGUUGAGUGUGGACUGAUAAUUUGCUAAAAUAUGGACAGAACCACUCAGAAUUCAAAUAUAAAUCCAGGUAAAGAGGUCAACCGCAGGACAAGACACCACAUUCCAAUAGCAGUGCAGGGAAAACUCAACAUGAAUCACAACAGAGAAGAAUAGUUCAACAAGCACAGAGAAGAGGAGAAGCAGCAUGGGUUAUAGUACAUAAACAUGUUCAGAUUACAGUUACUGUUUAGAACAAUUACUCCAUUAGCAGCAUAUAAGUAUCUUCCUUAGUCUACACAAUAGUCACUACACAAUAUAGGUUGCCCAUAUGCACAAAAACAUCUUGAAUGCCAGCCUAAGAAAAGAAAAGAUGCCAAUAUAUGAUCUAGCUUUUUGUCCCAUUCAGAGUACAAUUGCUCACCAAAAUAAUCCGUGAAUCAGGAUAUCUUCGCCCUAGAGAAGUCCAUCCCCGGAUUCUGCAGAUCAUGAACAAAAUCGAUUAAUAUGAAUACUCUUCAAGGGAGGGGGCAGGAGAAAAAACACAUGAUUAUGAAGUACCUGAGCCAUAAAUUUCUUUAGAACCUCCUGCUUUUGUAUAUCAUCGCUUGUUGGACGACCCAUUGAUUUCUGUCGCUGAUCAAACUGCAGAAGUAUUAUCCAUCACAGUGUCACACUAUUAGAAGGUAUCCAAUUCAUAAGUACACCAAGAAAGUCAGUUCCUGUGAAUAUGUACUAGUGUGGAUAACAAAUGACUCAUGAUAUAGAGGAUAAGCACAAAUUAUGCAGAACCUACCACGUCAGCGAAGCUAGAAACUUCCAUAUGAAUAACAUAAAUCAGGAUUGACUUAGCAGAAAUACGUUAAAAAAAGAAGUGACACCAGAAUUCCAAAAUUAAAAAGAGUGUUACCAUAGUAGGACAAUUUUCAAUUUCAAUAAAACCCUACCAUCAUCUUUUCGACAGCAGAUCUCGUCUCUGGGUCCAAGUCUGAUAGCCUGCUACUUUCAGGUUCAACUUUCUGAGUAUUGAGUUCAGGUUCACCUUUCACCACACACUUCCACCAAUCCAUCUGGUCCUUCUUGGUAAGCAGAACACAGACGGACUUCUGAUCCUCUUCAAAGAUGUCAACAACAGUUAGUUGUCGAUCUUAUGCUCCUCAAAGUAAAGCUACAUUAGCUGUUCUUGCACAGAUUAUAUUAAGUUUAUAUUACAAACUAUUGGAUUAACAGGUACAUGCCCAUACUUUGAAACCAUGAAUCACAUUGAAAAUAAACCAGCAGGGUACUAAUAACAUCAGAAAUGAAUUUUCAAGCAACCAUGCAUCAAAACAUACAAGCAACUUACCUAAGCUCCAAAAACAAUCGUCAACUUUGACAGGUUGAUAGAGUUCUCCCUCCAAGCACAAAGAGGAUAAAUGUUAAUAUCCAGGCUCAGAAGGAAAUCAUACAAAAUCUUACACAUUUUGAAAGGAAUGCAGCAAAAGAUAUCUUUGGAUGACUAGAAACAAGAGAAUUCACUCACAUCAAUUAUUGGAGGCUGACCCUUUAGUCCGACGGAGUAGUUGUCCAGAUCAAGACCAUUGCCUAUGUUGGGAGCUGCAUAUAUAUCAGCAGGAAGAACGAUAAGCUAUUGGUGAUACAAAACAAGCAAGGUUCUACAGAAACAUCAAUGAACAUAUAAAGUUGGCAUAUGAUGAGAACAAAGAAUAUCAAAGUGUAAAAUGGAGUUAAAGGACCUUCUAGGAAAAAUAUAAGCAGUAUGCCACAUGCGUACACACAUACACAACUCAGGAAAAGGUAUACUAGUUCAAGAUGAAUAUUGUCAACCUUUGAUGACAUAAACAUACAAGACCAAGUUAUGGCGACAAAUGAAGGACACAGCAAAAGAAAGCCACAACACUGACCCUUCAUCAGCAGAUUGGCACAAUGCAAAUGAAACCCACAAGAGUCCUCAGCUAUCAAUUUCCACAUUCCCAGAGAGCUAAUGCAUAUUAUUUUUUUCUUUGAUCAAACUAUAGGAUAUACUGUUUAUCAGAAAAUUAGAAUCAAAACAUACUUGAUAAU